RNAcentral lists this long non-coding RNA (253 nucleotides) under Arabidopsis lyrata. RNAcentral describes it as "long non-coding RNA (ALYR_LNC002958)". The record is from RNAcentral. Lineage: Eukaryota; Viridiplantae; Streptophyta; Magnoliopsida; Brassicales; Brassicaceae.
AUUUUGAUUCUUCUGGACGGUGAAGAAGAAAAAUGAAAAAAAAAAAUGAAAUAAUAAUAUAAUAAUAAUAAAAAAAAAAAAAAAAAAAAAAAAAAAAAAAAUGAAAUAAUAUUGGUAUUUUGUCAACGCUCUUAUAGUAGUACUGUGAUUGCUGUUGAUUUCUGGAUAAGGGAGGAUGGAUAGAUAAAUGGACUGAAACUUCUAUGGAAAAUAAAAUAAGCUAGAGUGGGCCGUGUGGUGAAAGAUAGAGCCC